CGGAACGUAGCGCAGCCUGGUAGCGCACCUGCCUUGGGAGCAGGGGGUCGCUGGUUCGAAUCCAGUCGUUCCGACCA
This 77-nucleotide transfer RNA is filed under the name Desulfovibrio desulfuricans. Its description in RNAcentral is "tRNA-Pro". It matches the Rfam family "tRNA". Rfam says of the family: Transfer RNA (tRNA) molecules are approximately 80 nucleotides in length. Their secondary structure includes four short double-helical elements and three loops (D, anti-codon, and T loops). Further hydrogen bonds mediate the characteristic L-shaped molecular structure. tRNAs have two regions of fundamental functional importance: the anti-codon, which is responsible for specific mRNA codon recognition, and the 3' end, to which the tRNAs corresponding amino acid is attached (by aminoacyl-tRNA synthetases). tRNAs cope with the degeneracy of the genetic code in two manners: having more than one tRNA (with a specific anti-codon) for a particular amino acid; and 'wobble' base-pairing, i.e. permitting non-standard base-pairing at the 3rd anti-codon position. Lineage: Bacteria; Pseudomonadati; Thermodesulfobacteriota; Desulfovibrionia; Desulfovibrionales; Desulfovibrionaceae. The record is from RNAcentral. RNAcentral also lists the same sequence under 16 other names.